AGUGAACGCUGGCGGUAGGCCUAACACGUGCAAGUCGAACGGCAGCACAGUAAGAGCUUGCUCUUACGGGUGGCGAGUGGCGGACGGGUGAGGAAUACAUCGGAAUCUACUUUUUCGUGGGGGAUAACGUAGGGAAACUUACGCUAAUACCGCAUACGACCUACGGGUGAAAGCAGGGGAUCUUCGGACCUUGCGCGAUUGAAUGAGCCGAUGUCGGAUUAGCUAGUUGGCGGGGUAAGGCCCACCAAGGCGACGAUCCGUAGCUGGUCUGAGAGGAUGAUCAGCCACACUGGAACUGAGACACGGUCCAGACUCCUACGGGAGGCAGCAGUGGGGAAUAUUGGACAAUGGGCGCAAGCCUGAUCCAGCCAUACCGCGUGGGUGAAGAAGGCCUUCGGGUUGUAAAGCCCUUUUGUUGGGAAAGAAAAGCAGCAGGUUAAUACCCCGCUGUUCUGACGGUACCCAAAGAAUAAGCACCGGCUAACUUCGUG
This 491-nucleotide ribosomal RNA is filed under the name uncultured bacterium. Its description in RNAcentral is "partial 16S ribosomal RNA". It matches the Rfam family "Bacterial small subunit ribosomal RNA", at positions 29 to 507 of the family's 1533-position model. The record is from RNAcentral.